RNAcentral lists this long non-coding RNA (2893 nucleotides) under Sus scrofa (pig). RNAcentral's name for it is "lncRNA (ENSSSCG00015016230.1)". Lineage: Eukaryota; Metazoa; Chordata; Mammalia; Artiodactyla; Suidae. The record is from RNAcentral.
GAGGUGUAUCACUGCCCCAGCUCCUCUGUUUUCCAUCUUGCAGCUGACAACUUCAGUUCCUUCAAUUCUCACUAGAUCAGAAACAUGACUCCUGCUUUGCUGAGUGUUUCUUCCAAUGACCAACAGUGUUGGCAGGGCACAAAGUAGAAGGCUUCAGGAGUUCCUGUCAUUGCUCAGUGGAAACGAAUCUGAAUAGGAACUGUGAGGAUGCAGGUUUGAUCGCUGGCCUUGCUCAGUGGGUUAAGGAUGGCGUUGCCACGAGCUGUGGUGUAGGUCGAAGAUGCGGCUUGAAUCUGGCAUUGCUGUGGCUGUGAUAUAGGCAGGCGGCUACAGUUCCAGUUCCCAGGCUAGGGGUCCAAUCGGAGCUGUGGCCGCCAGCCUACGCCAGAGCCACAGCAACGCAGGAUCUGCAACCUACACCACAGCUCACGGCAAUGCUGGAUCGUUAACCCACUGAGCAAGGGCAGGGACCGAACCCGCAACCUCAUGGUUCCUAGUCGGAUUCAUUAACCACUGCACCACGACGGGAACUCCAGAGACCCCAUUCUUAAAAGGCGCACACAGACUUUCACGUGCACUGGGUCCCAGGGCAAAGCAAAGUCUCCAUAGGAAUCUGGGUCAAACCUGACUGCAGUUCUUGGAGGACCUCCUGGGAAAACAGGGGUGACUGUGGCUUGUUGUGGGGGAACAACAUUGGAAGGAAAGCUCUUAGGAAUAUUCAUCAGCCUGUCUUUCUCUGGAGGUGGCCAUUUUGGGAAAAUCUGGCCCCACCCGUCAGCACGCUGAGAAGCUGCAGGGCAAACAACAACCCAGGGGGGUUCACAGCCCCGCCCAACAGCCAACAGGCUGCGUAAAGACCCCCCAGGCACACAGCCGCCUCUAAUCUCACCCAGAGACAACACCCCACCCACCAGAGGGAUAGGAAUCAUCUCCACCUACCAGUGGGCAGACAUCAGUCCCUCCCAUAUGGAAGCCUACAGCAAACCCCCAUACCAACUUCAGCCACAAGAGGGGCAGACACCAGAAGCAAAAGACGCUACAACUCUAUUAUCUGAAAAAAGGUCAGCUCACCAAAAAAAAUCUUGGAAUUCCUGUUGUGGCUCAGUGGAAAUGAAAAUGACUCACAUCCAUGAGAAUGGUUGUUCAAUCCCUGGCCUUUCUCAGUGGGUUAAGGAUCAAGCAUUGCCAUGAGCUGUGGUGUAGGUCACAGGCUACAGCUGUGGCUACAGCUCUGAUUUGACCCUUAGCUUGGGAACCUCCAUAUCCGCAGGUGCGGCCCUAAAAAAAACAAUAAAAUUAAAAAAAAUUUUAAAAACCUUUAAGUGAAUCUUGGCCUUUUGCAGUGCUGACAUAUGUCACUGUUCUCGCUCCACAUUUGUUUUUCAUCCUUCAAUUCUUCUAUUUUCUGCAGUAAGUUAUGAAGCCUUUAUAGUUUGGAUAUAUAUUUAAUAGCUGUACAUAUCCUUUUCCUGAUGUGGAAGGAUGCAGGAUUUAUGGUUGUACAUAUCCUUUCUUAAUUUAAGAGAACACAGGAAGCAAUAGCCACACCCAGCCCAGCCCUGGGGAGCUGGGUGUCCUGUGGCCCUCUGCCACCUUGUGUCUACGUCUGGGUACUGCACUAUCCUCAGUGUUGUCUGAGAAGGAAGGAGUCCUACCCACUUCUGACGUGUAGCCACCACCAUCACCAUACAGCCAUCCCCAGACCAACCCCGUCCUGUGGGAUGGAAGAAUAAGUGCUCCAUGUUCCAGGAGGAAAAUGCAGUUCUGCCUGCCAACCUCACUUAGACUCCUGCUUUCUCCUUACUGCUGAGACUGUGCGCAAGUUACUCCACCUUGUUUAGACUUAGUCUCUUCUUUUUUUUUUUUUUGUCUUGUUGCCUUUUCUAGGGCCGCUCCCACAGCAUAUGGAGGUUCCCAGGCUAGGGGUCUAAUUGGAGCUGUAGCUGCCAGCCUACGCCAGGGCCACAGCAACGCAGGAUCCAAGCUGCGUCUGCAAGCUACACUACAGCUCAUAGCAAGGCCGGAUCCCUAACCCACUGAGCAAGGCCAGGGAUUGAACCUGCAACCUGAGCCACGAUGGGAACUCCUAGACUUAGUUUCUUCUAAGAAAUCUAUGGACUGUAGAUAAUAAUAAACACCUGCCUCCUGACCUGUGACCACUGAACUUCUAGGAAACCAAACUGAUGUAAUGUUGUAAAGAUUAAAUGAAAAAUCAUAAGUGCCUACAGAUCAUUGACCAGUGAAUACUUCUGGAACAAAUGAAAGAACGAGUAAGUAGCUAAUUGAACAGACUUGGGAAGAAGCUUGGGCCGUCAGUCCAAAUUCCUUCUCAACGCUUAAGUCCCUUCUUCUGAGGAGCCCCAGGAAGAUGAGGCAUAAGGAUGGUGGUGGCUAAGGGUGAGGCUGUCUUUCCAACAGUUGCUCUUGAAGGAGCACCUUCCAAAUUUCUAAAGACAAGGAACUAAUUAGCCUGGCUGGGUUGGGAGCCUGCCCCUGGUCCAGGCAGCUGGCCAAGAAUCUGCUAUGUUAGUUAACAGAGACCAGGAAGGGGUGGGUUCUUGUGAGGUGGAUUGACAUUCUGGAGUGUUUACUAAACCACAUGAGAGUGUGAGGCCAGUAACAGUAGCAACAGAAUAUUGAUGGGGAAAUUCCUUCUGAGACCCAGAGUUAAGUCUUAGAAAUGAGCCACGGAGUUCCCGCUGUGGAACAACAGGAUCAGCAGCCUCUCUACAGCACAAGGAUGCAAGUUUAGUCCCUGGCCCAGCAUAGUGGGUUAAAGGAUCUGGUGUUGCUGCCACUGUGGCAUAAGUGGCGACUGUGGCUCAGAUCUGAUCCUUGGUUGGGAACUACAUAUGUUGCAGGGUGACUAAAAAAAAAAAAAAAAAAAAAAAAA